Molecule: ribosomal RNA, 470 nt
Filed under: uncultured bacterium
Lineage: Bacteria
Description: bacterial SSU rRNA
Rfam family: Bacterial small subunit ribosomal RNA
Source: RNAcentral
GAUAAACGCUGGCGGCGCACAUAAGACAUGCAAGUCGAACGGACUUAACCAUUAGUUUACUAUUGGAGCGGUUAGUGGCGAACGGGUGAGUAACGCGUGAGGAACCUGCCUCAAAGAGGGGGACAACAGUUGGAAACGACUGCUAAUACCGCAUAAGCCCACGGCUCGGCAUCGAGCAGAGGGAAAAGGAGCGAUCCGCUUUGAGAUGGCCUCGCGUCCGAUUAGAUAGUUGGUGGGGUAAUGGCCUACCAAGUCGACGAUCAGUAGCCGGACUGAGAGGUUGAACGGCCACAUUGGGACUGAGACACGGCCCAGACUCCUACGGGAGGCAGCAGUGGGGAAUAUUGCACAAUGGGGGAAACCCUGAUGCAGCGACGCCGCGUGAGCGAAGAAGUAUUUCGGUAUGUAAAGCUCUAUCAGCAGGGAAGAAAAUGACGGUACCUGACUAAGAAGCCCCGGCUAACUACGUG